Molecule: ribosomal RNA, 207 nt
Filed under: uncultured bacterium
Lineage: Bacteria
Description: partial 16S ribosomal RNA
Rfam family: Bacterial small subunit ribosomal RNA
Source: RNAcentral
UGCGCAGGCGGCCUGAUAAGUCAGAGGUGAAAUAUGACGGCUUAACCGUCAAACUGCCUCUGAAACUGUCAGGCUUGAGUCCGGGAGAGGUAGGUGGAAUUCCAGGUGUAGCGGUGAAAUGCGUAAAUAUCUGGAGGAACACCGGUGGCGAAGGCGGCCUACUGGCCCGGAACUGACGCUCAGGCACGAAAGCAUGGGGAGCGAACG